UGCAAGUCUAAGUACGCGCUCUCGUACAGUGAAACUGCGAAUGGCUCAUUAAAUCAGUUAUGGUUCAUUUGAUCGUACGUCUUACUUGGAUACCUGUACCAAAUCUAGAGCUAAUACAUGCAGCAGGCGCCUGCCUCACGGCGGGCGUGCAUUUAUCAGUCCAAAAACCGACCGGGCCGGCGUUUGUCGCGCCCGACACGUUUUGGUGACUCUGGAUAACUCAGCGGAUCGCACGGUCUCGCACCGGCGACGGAUCAUUCAAGUGUCUGCCCUAUCAACUUUCGUCGGUAGGGUAUCGGCCUACCGAGGUUCUUACGGGUGACGGGGAAUCAGGGUUCGAUUCCGGAGAGGGAGCCUGAGAAACGGCUACCACAUCCAAGGAAGGCAGCAGGCGCGCAAAUUACCCAUUCCCGACGCGGGGAGGUAGUGACGAAAAAUAACAAUACAGGACUCUAAACGAGGCCCUGUAAUUGGAAUGAGCACAUUUUAAAACCUUUAACGAGUAUCCAUUGGAGGGCAAGUCUGGUGCCAGCAGCCGCGGUAAUUCCAGCUCCAAAAGUGUAUAUUUAAGUUGUUGCGGUUAAAAAGCUCGUAGUUGGAUUUUGGGCGCAGGCGGCCGGUCCGUCGCAAGGCGUGCACUGGCUGCACCUGG
This 652-nucleotide ribosomal RNA is filed under the name Ascidia aff. curvata NS-2016. RNAcentral's name for it is "SSU rRNA". It matches the Rfam family "Eukaryotic small subunit ribosomal RNA", at positions 52 to 690 of the family's 1831-position model. Lineage: Eukaryota; Metazoa; Chordata; Ascidiacea; Phlebobranchia; Ascidiidae. The record is from RNAcentral.